Neofelis nebulosa (Clouded leopard) is the source of this 7056-nucleotide long non-coding RNA. RefSeq lists it as uncharacterized. NCBI's taxonomy places the organism in Eukaryota, Metazoa, Chordata, Mammalia, Carnivora, Felidae. The record is from RefSeq and is a predicted model, not a curated record. The transcript is spliced from 2 exons.
CCAGGGCCAGUCGCUAUGGCGACGGGACCCGACGUCGGCGCGGGCCGCGCGCGCGCCGUGGACGUUAACGCGCGGGUGCGCGCACGCGCACGCGCCGCGCUGGGAGGCCGCCGCCGCUUCCGCGCUUUGCGGCUGCUCGUCGGUCGCCGCCGCGGAGGUAAAGCUUUCCGGUCGCAAAAGCCGGAAGCGGUUGGAAGAGGUCCACGCGGUCGUCAGUGAAGUCGCGCGCCCCGGAUUUCGGAGGGCUGGGCCGCGGGGCUUCCGCUGCACCUCCAGCCGCCGGCCGCCGCGCUUGGAGGGACGCUCCCUUAAAAGUCGCUUUCCGAGGAGGCCGAGAACGAGUGGUGGAGUGCAGCGGUAACUCGCUUGUUGCAUCUACUCCUCCCCUCUCUGUGUUGCCCAUUUCCCACCCCUCUUUAUUAACGAACUUCAGGAAAACGUAGAGGUUUUCGGCGCGGUCGGGACCUGAGCUUGCGGCCACCUGUGACACCAGCUGGCUAAUCUUAUAACAAGCACAACCGAAUCCUGGAGAAAUACAGGACGUGGGGCGUUAUCGUUUACUACGCCGUGGUGUCAUUGUGAAUUCCGAUACUGCUGCUCUCUGAUCCCGGUUUUGUGAAUCCCAAAAUUAUCUUCCAAGAACCCUGGGCCCCGGAGACAUGGGCCCCGCCCGGAAAGCAUUUUGCCGGCUUUAUCCUCGGGAACUUAAAUAGGUUACGGAUUUUUUUUUUUUUUUUUUUUUUUUUUGCAUUCAGGAGUCAUAACUUCCUGCUAAAACUAUAUUAUUUUAUCAUUGCAAAGAGGGUCUUUUGAUCUGCUGAGCAACUUGCUUAAGAUUAGGGAGUGCGAACUAAAGACAGCUGAACUGCUGUGCCAGAUGGUGGGAGAGAGGCGUCCAUGAAUUGGGAUUCUGGUCACCGAAUGGGGAAAAAAUCCAGACAAGAACCCAAGGUGACUGACUAGCUAAAAAAGGAUUUUGAAAGCGAAAAUGGCUGGUAUGGAUACAGAGAUACCCCGCUCUGCAGCGGGCGUUAUGACCCUUAACAGGGUCUUCAGGAAAGUCACCACUACUCACAAACGCUUGGUCUGGAGGAGUUGUUUUGCUGGAAACAGAAACGGUUGGAUUUAGCAUCCAUGACAACGUGGUAAGUGUAAAGGCAGCAGGUGUAGCGACAGGAGUCAGGAAAGCAGUUGAGAUCCUACGAAUGCUACCCUUCCAGAAACUUGUGGGACUCUUGGGUGGGCUUUGGACUUCCACGAGAUAGGAAAUUAGAGUGUUUGAGUGUAGUUUAACCCGGAUGUCCAGAAACAUAGAAACUCCAGCUGACGCGUAAACCCUGUGAGGAUAGGAAUUUUGUAUGUCUUGCUCACUGCUCUGUACCUAGAAUUAGGCAUAGAGUGGAAAGGUCCCUGUACUCCUGAAGCUUCAAAAAGGAGGAAGGAAUCUCAGAGAUAAGUAACUUAUACAAAGCCACAGAAAUAAUUAGCUGUAGAACCAAGAUUCAUAUCGAGCUCCAACUCCAAACCGAUCUCUAGGCACGACACCACAGUGGUACACAGCCAGCUAUCCACCAGUAUCCAUUGUCUCCAGCCACAGCUAAGUAGCUACUACCAGGGCACCCCACUCUCGGUUGGGCGCCCCACUCUUGGUUUGACUCUGAUCAUGAUCUCACAGUUUAGUGAGUUCCAGCCUGCGUUGGGCUCUGUGCUGCUAAUGCAGAGAAUGUUUGGUUCUCUCUCUCUUUCUGCCCCUCCCCUGCCCCUUGCUCAUGCUGUGCUCAUGCUGUCUCUGUCUCUCUCAAAAAUAAACUUCAAAAAAAAAAAAAAAAAAAGAACUACUAGCCAGGUGUGGCCAUCAUGUAACUCUCAUCAGCAGAAUGCGGCCAGAAGCAAUGUGUGCCAUUGACAAGGGAAGUUUCAAAGAAGGGAGUGCGCCUUCAUCUUUGGCCAGCUGGAUACAGACGACAAAGCCAUAAGAGAUGACCGAACCACAAACCAGGAGGACCUCAGGGCUCCUGGCUCCGUGUGGAGUAAAGCCAGCAGCUGUUAAGUAAGCAAGAAAUAACCUUCACUGUGUUUGAGCCAUUUCGCAUUAUCCUUAUGUGGGUCUGUUUUUUUAGAGUAACGUAAGCCACUCUAAUCAAUAGAGUAACUGAUCUCAGCAGUAGGGUGCUAUUUGUUUGUUUGGGGUUUUGUUUUCUUUUGUUUUUAUGUUUAUUAUGAGAGCAUGAGGGAGAGAGAAAAGCUCAAGCAGGCUCCGAACCCGCAGCAUGGAGCCCAACGUGGAGCUUGAUCCCCAACCAAGAGUUGGGCACCCAACUAACUGAGCUACCUAUGCACCCCCAUUUUCUUUAAUUUUAUGUAGGACAUUGGUUUAGUAGUUGGCUAGCAGGUAGCAUGAAAUGUGAAGUGGAGGACAAGGGACAGGACCUUUCUGGGCUAAAAUUUCCUGAUUUUGUUCUAUAUUUGUAUUUUUCAAGCAUCAGUUCUUAAAGGCUGUUGCCGUUUGGAAUCUGGAACCAUAUCAAUGAUUCGACAUUUCGUACUCAGCUACGUUAAAAGCCGUUGGUUAUCUUGUACUCUGAAUGGAUUUUUUACCUAGGCACGGUUUCAUAACAUCACACAUCGGUCAUUUGGAAAAUACUGGUUCACUGAGCUAUGAGGAUCUUCCAAAUGUUGAUACGUUUCAUAACACAAUAUUAAAACAAUCACAUGCAUUAGUAUACCACUCAGCUCACAAGUCUCUAUGUCUGAAGAGGUUGUUAGGUUUACAACAGAGAAUGUAACUUUUCCAAAAUUCUAAUUUUUUUAAAUUUCUUUUUUUAAUAUGAAAUUUAUUGUCAAAUUGGUUUCCAUGCAACACCCAGUGCUCCUCCCAACAGGUGCCCUCCUCCAUGCCCAUCACCCACCCUUCCCUCCCUCCCACCCCCCAUCAACCCUCAGUUUAUUCUCAGUUUUUAAGAGUCUCUUACGGUUUGGCUCCCUCCAUCUCUAACCUUUUUUUUUUCCUUCCCCUCCCCCAUGGUCUUUUGUUAAGUUUCUCAGGAUCCACAUAAGAGUGAAAACAUGGUAUCUGUCUUUCUCUAUGUGACUUAUUUCAUUUAGCAUAACACUCUCCAGUUCCAUCCACGUUGCUACAAAGGGCCAUAUCUCAUUCUUUCUCAUUGCCACGUGGUAUUCCAUGGUGUAUAUAAACCACAAUUUCUUUAUCCAUUCAUCAGUUGAUGGACAUUUAGGCUCUUUCCAUAUUUUGGCUAUUAUUGGAAGUGCUACUGUAAACGAUGGGGUACAAGUUUCUAAUUUUUGCAUGCAAACUUGAAUUUUAUCAUCGGCAAUGAAAACUGGCAGUUGUUUUCCUUGAAAUAAUAGCCUUAAACUGUAAGAGACUCUUAACCACCGGAGAACAAACAGGGUUGAUUGAGGGAAGAGGGUGGGGGGUGGGCUAGAUGGAUGAUGGGGGACUAAGAAGGGCCCUUGUUGGGAUGAACACUGGGUGUUUUAAGUGAUGAAUCAUUGAAGUCUACUCCUGAAACCAUUACUACACUAUAUGUUAACUAACUAGAAUUUAAAUAAAUUUUAAGAAGAUAGCCUUAUUAGAGAAUGCAUUUUUGAGAAAAAUGUCUGUUAAAGGCUCAGUCUCGAUAACCAGAGCUUUUCUGCCAUAAAUGGCCUUAUGUGAAUACAGCUGCUGGUUCUGAUCAGGACUCCAGGCCCAGGCUCCUUCCUGCAGGCAGAUCACGGGUCACUGAGCCGCCCGCGUGCCUUGUGUGUGCUUCAUCUCAUCACCCAGGACGUGAAAUGACUUGUCCUCAAGCUUUGGGACUCAGUCAAGAGGUAAUCUUUACCCCUUUAUUAAGGAACUCUUCCGGGAAACGGGGAUCCUUUCCUGUGCGUGCAUGGAGGCAGAGACCGGAUGGCUUCUGGAACAGUUGUGUGCCCCAGUCUCCAUCUGGGCCAAGGUGCUGGCAGUUUUAGCAGCCGCAUUAGUUUUCCAGUGUUUCAUCACCAAGAACUGCAAAGCUAGCAGCUUAAAACAACAUCUCUUUUAGCGUGAAGUCCCGCCUGUCAGUAAUGGGGAAACUGCAUACAUGGAUGUCCACUAAGGAUCUCCUGUAACUUAAAUCAAGACAUGGGCCAGGCUGAGUUCUCCCCUGCAGCUUGGGGGUCCUCUCCCAAGUUCAGACCAUUGAGGCAGAAUUAAGUUCCUUGCAGUUGUGAGACUCAUUCCCCAUUUCUUUGCUGGCUGUCGACUGAGGUUCCUUUCAGCAGGUGGAGGCCGCCACAUUCCUCACGUCUGGCUUCAGAGCCAGCCAGAGAACUUUCCCACCCAUCAGUUCUCCCAUCACACCUCUUAUAACAGAAAAGAGGCUCAUUCCUUUUAAGGGUUCACCUGAUUAGACCAGGCCCAGUGGAUGACCUUUAUGAACUUUCAGUCAACGGAUUAGUAAAUUAAGCAUGGGAAUGACAGCCCAUGCUGUCUGCAGGCGUGGCGCCCCAUCUCAAGGUCAGAGGGCUGCACAGGGUGUACCCACCAGGGAGUGGAAACCUUGGGGCCCCUUCCGAGUUGAGCCUGCCUCAGCUACCCUUGCUUUUGCACCACCGGUGAAAAUGUCAAGCAGUUAAAAGAGGCAUAGAAUGUCCCACCUUGUGAAAAUUGCUUGAUCUCCCAAACCCCUGAAGAUGCCUUAAGUUCCCCCAGGGGUCCAAAUGAUCUCUAACGGAUCUACAUCUUUUCUACGGUGGUGACUGCAGGAAAACAGGCUUUUUCUGUUUUAUCCAUUAUCUUUGACAAAUAUUGGGUAAAUUAUUUAUCAUGUUAGUUAUAAAAAUUGCUCCCUUAGGGCGCCUGGGUGGCUCAGUCAGUUGGGUGGCCGGCUUCAGCUCAGGUCAUGAUCUCGUGGUCCGUGAGUUCAAGCCCCACGUCGGGCUCUGUGCUGAUAGCUCAGAGCCUGGAGCCUGCUUCUGUUUCUGUCUCCUUCUCUCUCUGCCCCUCCCCCAUUCGCACUCUGUCUCUCUCUGCCUUUCAAAAAUGAAUAAAUGUUAAAAAAAAUUUUUUUUUAAUCGCUCCCUUUAUUAAAUAUAUUCUUUAUACUUACCCAGUGGAAAGAAAGAAUACCAUGGGAUUGUCAGACAAUUUUUUGUAGUAAGGCAGUGUUUUUAGACCAUGCUGGGGGGAACAUACUGGAGAGAUGUCAUUUCAGAACCUUGCCUUCACACUUACAAAGGCUGAAACUCACUCUUGGGCAUAGCCCUCACAUAUUUCAAUCACCAGCAGAGAGAAAUGUACACUCUAAUAGGACACUCAAUGAUCAACUCACAUACUGAAAUCUACUCACCUCUCUGCAUGUGUAUGUGUCCCUAUGGAAGACAAGGAACUCUGUUUUUUCUGAAUGUUUCUGAAGUCCUUGAGAAAUUUCUAGCCACUACUUCGGGGACAAAUAGGGAGCUAGAUGCUCCUGCAGCCAGGUGUACUGAAGAUACGGGGAGGGAGGGGGAGAUAUGUAAGCAGGGGGCUCAUAGCUGGACAGUCCUUUUGUCUGCACGCCUCCUGCCCCCAGCGAAUGCUGGGCAGAGUUGAGGAGGUAGGAGAAUGGGCCGGAAACGUGAUAAUGUGGGUAAGAUUUUCCCCAGUCUCCACUGAGAGAACCAGAAACAGACAUUAGAGGAGAAUGAAAGGUGUGGAGUUCCUUGCAGAUAAUACUUGUGUGUGUGUUUCAUUAUAAAAAAGUACAGACAUGACUGAAUAAUUGAAAUAUUUGACUCUUCUAUCAAAUUUUAAAUCCUAUUUAUCAAUGUUGGUGCUUUAUUAUGUUUUAAAAAUUAAAUAUCAAAGUUAAUUUUCAACAUAAUAUUAAUGGUAAGAAUUAUGGGAGGUAUGGCAGAAACUAUAUUCUCUUUUUUAAAAUUUUUUUAAUGUUUUUUUUUUGGGAGAGAGAGACAGUGUGAGUGAGGGUGCGGCAGAGAGGGAGACAGAAUCCAAAGCAGGCUCCAGGCUCUGAGCUGUCAGCACGGAGCCUGACGCAGGGCUAGAACUCAGGAGCCGUGAGGUCAUGACCUGAGCUGAAGCUGGACACUUAAUCAACUAAGCCACCCAGGAGCCCCAAGAGAUUUUUUUUUUAAGUAUAGUUUUGUGAUGUUUUUAUACUUCUUGGUAAAAAUUGUUUCCACUUCUUGAUGUUUGGUUUGUAUUUACUUUCCGUAAGAGUUUAAUUGACAAGUAUCUUCUCGGUAUUGAGGGACAAGAAACCAUAUGGCAAAACGCUUACUGGCUCUGACCGUCUCUGCACAUCAGUUCCAUUCACAUUUUCUAGGCCAAGCAAGUCACAUGGUCACAUCUAGCCACAAGUGCACAGCAAGGAAUAAAGUUGUAGAUGGCGGCUGCCCUAAUGACAAAGAACAGAGUCUCCUGCUGACCCUUGACCACCGCCUAGUGUGACCAAGCAAACAAACGUCAUGUCUUAAACGGUGGAGCUGUUGGCGUCUUUGUUGCUGUGGCCCAACUCACCCAUGAGUGCUGCAGUUAGGGCUUGUCCCACACCCGGCCCACACCCCCGGGCCAGUUCGCCAAUUGACUUGACUGUGUGAGUUCGCAAGGCUGCUUUACACAACGCUGUCUUCCUGAAAUCUGCACCUGUACCAAGUUAGGUGCCCGUCAUCUGUCUGACAAACAAAGCUAGUGCUUUUAAUGUUGCCUUUCAGUGUGAUUAAGUACACUAGUGAACCUACUGUUUUAAGGUUCUUGAUAAAAAAAAAUGUCAAAACAAGUAAGAGGUAAUAUUCUCUAAUGAUGCUAAUUAUUCUUUUAAAUGCUUUGAUGCUGCUUUCUCUCCUGUGUGCCUGACCUAGCUUAUCUAAUCUUGCUUAGGCUUGUAACUGAAUGUCCUGUAAUACUAUUUGAAAAACACACACAUACAUAACCACUGAUACAAACUGAAAGCUUUUUCAUACCAUGGCAACUAUUCAUAAGAAGGUUCACAUAAGCUAUUAGAGUCUUUUAUUUCCUGUUUCCAUUUUUAUCGAUGUGAAAUGAUUGUUGCAUAAAGAGCAAGGAAGCCA